CNUGGGAACUGCGUUCUGAACUGGGUGACUAGAGUGUGUCAAAGGGAGGUAGAAUUCCACGUGUAGCAGUGAAAUGCGUAGAGAUGUGGAGGAAUACCGAUGGCGAAGGCAGCCUCCUGGGAUAACACUGACGUUCAUGCCCGAAAGCGUGGGUAGCAAACAGGAUUAGAUACCCUGGUAGUCCACGCCCUAAACGAUGUCGAUUAGCUGUUGGGCAGCAUGACUGCUUAGUAGCGAAGCUAACGCGUGAAAUCGACCGCCUGGGGAGUACGGUCGCAAGAUUAAAACUCAAAGGAAUUGACGGGGACCCGCACAAGCGGUGGAUGAUGUGGAUUAAUUCGAUGCAACGCGAAGAACCUUACCUGGUCUUGACAUGUACGGAACCCUCCAGAGACGGAGGGGUGCCUUCGGGAGCCGUAACACAGGUGCUGCAUGGCUGUCGUCAGCUCGUGUCGUGAGAUGUUGGGUUANNNNNNGCAACGAGCGCAACCCUUGUCAUUAGUUGCCAUCAUUAAGUUGGGCACUCUAAUGAGACUGCCGGUGACAAGCCGGAGGAAGGUGGGGAUGACGUCAAGUCCUCAUGGCCCUUAUGACCAGGGCUUCACACGUCAUACAAUGGUCGGUACAGAGGGUAGCCAAGCCGCGAGGUGGAGCCAAUCUCACAAAACCGAUCGUAGUCCGGAUUGCACUCUGCAACUCGAGUGCAUGAAGUCGGAAUCGCUAGUAAUCGCAGGUCAGCAUACUGCGGUGAAUACGUUCCCGGGUCU
RNAcentral lists this ribosomal RNA (767 nucleotides) under uncultured bacterium. RNAcentral's name for it is "bacterial SSU rRNA". It matches the Rfam family "Bacterial small subunit ribosomal RNA", at positions 613 to 1381 of the family's 1533-position model. The record is from RNAcentral.